AAGACCAUGAGGACUACACUCAGCUGUCUUCUGGGAUCCAUCAUUUUUCACAGGAUUAUCUCUGGAUUUCUCAUCCUCGAAAAUGUAAAAGGAACACUUGGUCCACAGCAACAGCCCCCUGCUGCAUAUUGGAUUCUUCUGGAAUCGAAAGGU
Molecule: non-coding RNA, 153 nt
Organism: Podarcis muralis (Common wall lizard)
Lineage: Eukaryota; Metazoa; Chordata; Lepidosauria; Squamata; Lacertidae
Source: RefSeq, a predicted model, not a curated record